RNAcentral lists this non-coding RNA (23 nucleotides) under Rattus norvegicus (Norway rat). Lineage: Eukaryota; Metazoa; Chordata; Mammalia; Rodentia; Muridae. The record is from RNAcentral.
UAGAAUCAUUGGGGCUGACCUUA